Molecule: long non-coding RNA, 1126 nt
Filed under: Elaeis guineensis (African oil palm)
Lineage: Eukaryota; Viridiplantae; Streptophyta; Magnoliopsida; Arecales; Arecaceae
Description: long non-coding RNA (EGUI_LNC079633)
Source: RNAcentral
UCUUUACAGUCAUCUGAUUAAUUGAUUUUAAUCAAAGUGGGCCAUUAUCUUUUAUGGGAUCAAAACUUCAUCAUAAUGUUUGGGCCUAAAUCAUUUUGAGCUCUAUUCUAAAUAUAUUUGAUUUUAGUAAUCGAUCUUGCUAUAAAAUAUUUGCAUCCAGUUAAUCCCAACUCAAUCUUAAAGGAACAUGCAUUUAUCUCAAAAUCUUGGUCACUUAAUUAGUGCUGAUCUCAUUAGUCUAUAUCUUAAUUAUAAAUGUGAUAAAAAAUUUUUGAUCAUACUAAUUUCAAUCAAGGAGAGAUAAGAUUUUUUAUUGUACCUCAAAGGGGCAAAAAUUCCAAAAUUGACUUGGAGGUGCCGAAUUGUGAAGUAUUCUUGAAAAGAGUUUGUGCUUUUACAUAAAAGUAUGCAUGAGUAUUGUGGUUGUCCCAAGAGGUCAGAUUUUACUUACGGGCAUUUUAGUAAUAUGAUCACAUACUCAAAAAUACCAAGCCAGGAUAAAUUAGAGCAUAUAAGUUUUGGAUUGAGCAUCUUUAACUUAAAAGGAUUUAGAUUUCUCAAAUUUCAAGGAUGGAAACUUUAUAAGGAGGGAGAAUGUGAGAAUCGAUCCAAUUGGAUCUAACUUUAUGUGAAGUCGGCAAGGCUUGCUGACUUCAUCAAAAAAUUUUCAAAAAAAAAGGUAUUGAGAAGCAAUCGGAAUAGGGAAAGAUUGUCCCCUACCCGAUCCCAUCUCUUAGAAUGGGACAAGGAUGCAUGGACGAUUGGAUGGGAGUCGCGAGCCUAGGCGGAAUGGUCAGAGGAUGUUUGAGAUGGUUACGCCAGCACAUAGCGAGACUUAUCCAUCUUAAACUAAGCUUAUCCUUUCCUUUCUCCUUCUCUAUUUAAACCCUCCUUCCGAUUGAUCCCCAACCAAAAUCUCUCUUCCUCUCCCUUCUUCCUCUCCAUCGAUCGACAGCCGUUGACUGCUGUAAUUGAGCCUAAUCAUCUGAAACCUCCUCUUUUCUUCUCAAAUUCUCUUUUCUUUUUCAGAUCUAGAAGAUUCUAUGGGGCUUAGGAUCGAGCAGUGAGGAGCAUAAGAUCUUAGAGAAUUUUAUUUAGUUUAUUUUUGAAUAAAUAUUUUGGCCUU